Molecule: transfer RNA, 73 nt
Organism: Camelus ferus (Wild Bactrian camel)
Lineage: Eukaryota; Metazoa; Chordata; Mammalia; Artiodactyla; Camelidae
Rfam family: tRNA
About the family: Transfer RNA (tRNA) molecules are approximately 80 nucleotides in length. Their secondary structure includes four short double-helical elements and three loops (D, anti-codon, and T loops).
Source: Rfam
GAGGGUACAGCUCAAGUGGUAGAGCACAUGCUUAACGUGCACAAGGUCCUGGGUUCAAUCCCCGGUACCGCCU